This is a non-coding RNA of Schizosaccharomyces pombe (fission yeast), 392 nucleotides long. Lineage: Eukaryota; Fungi; Ascomycota; Schizosaccharomycetes; Schizosaccharomycetales; Schizosaccharomycetaceae. The record is from the annotation of a GenBank genome assembly.
AAAAUCAGUAGCAUUGUUACUAGCAUUUUCAAUAGUAGAUAGAAUAAAUUCAGGAGUAGCAUAUUGAUUACCGGCAUGCAUCGGUGAAUCCAGUUCAUACAAACUAGUGUCUAAACGUUGGAUACCAGUAGCCAAAACAGAAUCCACUAUGUCAUCAAGCUUCUCCAGCUGCGAUUUCAAAAGCUCGUCAAUUUGAGUAUCCAUCGCUUGAUCAAUGUCAUUACGAUCCAAUUGUAAUUUGCUAAGCUGUAACAGAGACUCGUCGACAGCUGCUUUUUGAAUCUCCAGCUCUUCUUCCUUUUCCUGCAAAAGUUGGCGGUACCGAUUUUCAGUAGACUUCAAUUCAACACCUAAGUUGGCUAGCUCACGAUCCUUUGAAUGAAGAGCAUCUU